This 445-nucleotide ribosomal RNA is filed under the name uncultured bacterium. RNAcentral describes it as "bacterial SSU rRNA". It matches the Rfam family "Bacterial small subunit ribosomal RNA", at positions 330 to 792 of the family's 1533-position model. The record is from RNAcentral.
GCCAGACUCCUACGGGAGGCAGCAGUGGGGGAUAUUGCACAAUGGGGGAAACCCUGAUGCAGCAACGCCGCGUGAGUGAAGAAGUAUUUCGGUAUGUAAAGCUCUCUCAGCAGGGAAGAGAAUGACGGUACCUGACUAAGAAGCCCCGGCUAACUACGUGCCAGCAGCCGCGGUAAUACGUAGGGGGCGAGCGUUAUCCGGAUUUACUGGGUGUAAAGGGAGCGUAGACGGCUGGUCAAGUCUGAAGUGAAAGCCCGGGGCUUAACCCCGGAACGGCUUUGGAAACUGAGCAGCUAGAGUGCUGGAGAGGUAAGCGGAAUUCCUAGUGUAGCGGUGAAAUGCGUAGAUAUUAGGAGGAACACCAGUGGCGAAGGCGGCUUACUGGACAGUAACUGACGUUGAGGCUCGAAAGCGUGGGGAGCAAACAGGAUUAGAUACCCUCGUA